RNAcentral lists this ribosomal RNA (351 nucleotides) under uncultured bacterium. RNAcentral describes it as "bacterial SSU rRNA". It matches the Rfam family "Bacterial small subunit ribosomal RNA", at positions 917 to 1271 of the family's 1533-position model. The record is from RNAcentral.
GGGCCCGCACAAGCGGUGGAGCAUGUGGUUUAAUUCGAUGAUACGCGAGGAACCUUACCAGGGCUUAAAUGUAGAUUGCAUUAGCUAGAGAUAGCUAUUUCUUCGGACUAUCUACAAGGUGCUGCAUGGUUGUCGUCAGCUCGUGCCGUGAGGUGUCAGGUUAAGUCCUAUAACGAGCGCAACCCCUGUUGUUAGUUGCCAGCGAGUCAAGUCGGGAACUCUAACAAGACUGCCAGUGCAAACUGUGAGGAAGGUGGGGAUGACGUCAAAUCAUCACGGCCCUUACGUCCUGGCUACACACGUGCUACAAUGGUAGGGACAGAGAGCAGCCACUGGGCGACCAGGAGCAAA